Hippocampus comes (tiger tail seahorse) is the source of this 661-nucleotide long non-coding RNA. RefSeq lists it as uncharacterized. The transcript has 2 exons. NCBI's taxonomy places the organism in Eukaryota, Metazoa, Chordata, Actinopteri, Syngnathiformes, Syngnathidae. The record is from RefSeq and is a predicted model, not a curated record.
AGACACCAAAUAUGCGGAGUCUCGUCGUGUGUGUGCGUGCGUGCGAGUGUGUGCGUAACGUUCUCAAACAGGCUGUGUCAACACCAAGGCUGGCGGCGGCGUUGUUAUCGCCCCGUCCUGACCAAACAGGCUCGUCGAGAAAGGUGACAUCAUGCGUUGGCGCAACAAUUGCAGGUCACGUACGUGCCUCCGUACCACUUAACGCUGUCUGAUUUUUAAGGUUUGAUCAAUAAAUAUUUGGGGGAGGACGUUUUAAAAAGAGUAAUAGCGGUAAUGUGCCAUACAUGCACCUGCUCUCCAAGCACUUCCUGUCUGUUGAUGCAAAUUUUCCCAUUUCCAUAACUCAACUGCUGCUUAUGCCGUGCUGUACAAACCAUCCAAAUAUGUUAUUUUUAACCAUCAAAAUAGGUUAUUUUUACUCAUAUCACUGCUUUUAUAACUCAGAAAGUCAUCUGGUGUCAGAAGGAAAAAAACUACGGCAUGUAAAUGAGUUGAACAGCGCCUAUUGUCACAACAAAGAGAUGAAGUCAUUGUCCAUGUGCAAAGGUCAUCUUCAAGAUCAUACACACUUUUCACAUUACGCGCCUUAUGGAUAAUACUUUAAUUUUAUACUAAAUUUGCCCUUUUUGGAAAUCAAAAGUGAGCACACGUGCCCAAGCAU